CGCGUAGGUGGUAGUGAAAGUCUAUGGUGGAAUCUUAGGGCUUAACCCUAAAACUGCCUUGGAAACUUCAUUACUUGAGUCAGUGAGGGGAGGGUAGAAUUCCUGGUGUAGCGGUGAAAUGCGUAGAUAUCAGGAGGAAGGCCGGUGGCGAAGGCGGCCCUCUGGCGCUGAACUGACGCUGAGGCGCGAAAGCGUGGGUAGCAAACAGGAUUAGAUACCCUGGUAGUCCACGCCCUAAACGGUGGGUACUAGGUGUAGGGCUCGUAAGGGUUCUGUGCCGAAGGGAAACCAUUAAGUACCCCGCCUGGGGAGUACGGCCGCAAGGUUGAA
Molecule: ribosomal RNA, 330 nt
Filed under: uncultured bacterium
Lineage: Bacteria
Description: bacterial SSU rRNA
Rfam family: Bacterial small subunit ribosomal RNA
Source: RNAcentral